RNAcentral lists this ribosomal RNA (366 nucleotides) under uncultured organism. RNAcentral describes it as "bacterial SSU rRNA". It matches the Rfam family "Bacterial small subunit ribosomal RNA", at positions 526 to 896 of the family's 1533-position model. The record is from RNAcentral.
CGGAGGAUCCAAGCGUUAUCCGGAAUCAUUGGGUUUAAAGGGUCCGUAGGCGGUUUUGUAAGUCAGUGGUGAAAGCCCAUCGCUCAACGGUGGAACGGCCAUUGAUACUGCAAGACUUGAAUUAUUGGGAAGUAACUAGAAUAUGUAGUGUAGCGGUGAAAUGCUUAGAGAUUACAUGGAAUACCAAUUGCGAAGGCAGGUUACUACCAAUAUAUUGACGCUGAUGGGCGAAAGCGUGGGGAGCGAACAGGAUUAGAUACCCUGGUAGUCCACGCCGUAAACGAUGGAUACUAGCUGUUCGGAGCAAUCUGAGUGGCUAAGCGAAAGUGAUAAGUAUCCCACCUGGGGAGUACGUUCGCAAGAAUG